CCCCUGGUGGUCUAGUGGUUAGGAUGCAGCGCUCUCACUGCCGUGGUCCGGGUUCGAUUCCUGGUCAGGGAA
RNAcentral lists this transfer RNA (72 nucleotides) under Manacus vitellinus (golden-collared manakin). It matches the Rfam family "tRNA". From Rfam's summary of the family: Transfer RNA (tRNA) molecules are approximately 80 nucleotides in length. Their secondary structure includes four short double-helical elements and three loops (D, anti-codon, and T loops). Lineage: Eukaryota; Metazoa; Chordata; Aves; Passeriformes; Pipridae. The record is from Rfam by way of RNAcentral.